GAUGAACGCUGGCGGCGUGCCUAAUACAUGCAAGUCGAGCGAACAGACGAGGAGCUUGCUCCUCUGACGUUAGCGGCGGACGGGUGAGUAACACGUGGAUAACCUACCUAUAAGACUGGGAUAACUUCGGGAAACCGGAGCUAAUACCGGAUAAUAUAUUGAACCGCAUGGUUCAAUAGUGAAAGACGGUUUUGCUGUCACUUAUAGAUGGAUCCGCGCCGCAUUAGCUAGUUGGUAAGGUAACGGCUUACCAAGGCAACGAUGCGUAGCCGACCUGAGAGGGGGAUCGGCCACACUGGAACUGAGACACGGUCCAGACUCCUACGGGAGGCAGCAGGAGGGAAUCUUCCGCAAUGGGCGAAAGCCUGACGGAGCAACGCCGCGUGAGUGAUGAAGGUCUUCGGAUCGUAAAACUCUGUUAUUAGGGAAGAACAAAUGUGUAAGUAACUAUGCACGUCUUGACGGUACCUAAGCAGAAAGCCACGGCUAACUACGU
RNAcentral lists this ribosomal RNA (496 nucleotides) under uncultured bacterium. Its description in RNAcentral is "partial 16S ribosomal RNA". It matches the Rfam family "Bacterial small subunit ribosomal RNA", at positions 28 to 506 of the family's 1533-position model. The record is from RNAcentral.